This 517-nucleotide ribosomal RNA is filed under the name uncultured Brachyspira sp. RNAcentral's name for it is "bacterial SSU rRNA". It matches the Rfam family "Bacterial small subunit ribosomal RNA", at positions 106 to 640 of the family's 1533-position model. Lineage: Bacteria; Pseudomonadati; Spirochaetota; Spirochaetia; Brachyspirales; Brachyspiraceae. The record is from RNAcentral.
GUGAGUAACACGUAGGUAAUCUGCCGUAGAGUGGGGGAUAACCCAUGGAAACAUGGACUAAUACCGCAUAUNCUCUUGACACAUAAGUGUAGUAGAGGAAAGGAGUAAUCCGCUUUACGAUGAGCCUGCGGCCUAUUAGCCUGUUGGUGAGAUAAAAGCCCACCAAAGCUACGAUAGGUAGCCGACCUGAGAGGGUGACCGGCCACAUUGGGACUGAGAUACGGCCCAGACUCCUACGGGAGGCAGCAGCUGAGAAUCUUCCACAAUGGACGAAAGUCUGAUGGAGCGACAUCGCGUGAGGGAUGAAGGCCUUCGGGUUGUAAACCUUGGAAAUUAUCGAAGAAUGAGUGACAGUAGAUAAUGUAAGCCUCGGCUAACUACGUGCCAGCAGCCGCGGUAAUACGUAGGAGGCAAACGUUGCUCGGAUUUACUGGGCGUAAAGGGUGAGHAUGCGGAACUAUAAGNCUAAGGUGAAAUAUCGAAGCUCAACUUCGGARACGCCUCGGAUACUGUGGUU